RNAcentral lists this RNase P RNA (325 nucleotides) under human gut metagenome. Its description in RNAcentral is "Bacterial RNase P class A". It matches the Rfam family "Bacterial RNase P class A". Rfam says of the family: Ribonuclease P (RNase P) is a ubiquitous endoribonuclease, found in archaea, bacteria and eukarya as well as chloroplasts and mitochondria. The record is from RNAcentral.
GUAAGUCAGACAAUCGCGCCCGUUUUGGGUGAGGAAAGUCCGGGCUCCAUAGAGCAGGGAUGCCGGCUAACGGCCGGUGAAGGCGACUUCAAGGAUAGUGCAACAGAAAAUAAAUGCCCGUAUUCGUACGCGGCGAUUGUGGAAAUGUGAGGUAAGAGCUCACAGGGAAGAUGGCAACUGAAUUCCCGUGUAAACCCCAUCCGGAGCAACUUUGAGAACGAUAAGCUAUGCUCGGCGUGUUCUCUUGCAAGGCUUGAGUCUGCCGGUAACGGCAGAACCAGAUAGAUGAUUGUCCGAUACAGAACCCGGCUUACAGACUUGCUCA